GCCUUCGUGGUGUAAUGGCCAGCACACUCGGCCCGUAUUCGAGAGGUCCGAGGUUCAAAUCCCGGAGAGGGCA
This 73-nucleotide transfer RNA is filed under the name Stegodyphus mimosarum. It matches the Rfam family "tRNA". From Rfam's summary of the family: Transfer RNA (tRNA) molecules are approximately 80 nucleotides in length. Lineage: Eukaryota; Metazoa; Arthropoda; Arachnida; Araneae; Eresidae. The record is from Rfam by way of RNAcentral.